This 253-nucleotide ribosomal RNA is filed under the name uncultured bacterium. RNAcentral's name for it is "partial 16S ribosomal RNA". It matches the Rfam family "Bacterial small subunit ribosomal RNA", at positions 524 to 776 of the family's 1533-position model. The record is from RNAcentral.
UACGUAGGGGGCAAGCGUUGUCCGGAAUCAUUGGGCGUAAAGCGCGCGUAGGCGGCCCGGUAAGUCCGCUGUAAAAGUCCAGGGCUCAACCCUGGAAAGCCGGUGGAUACUGUCGGGCUAGAGUCCGGAAGAGGCGAGUGGAAUUCCUGGUGUAGCGGUGAAAUGCGUAGAUAUCUGGAGGAACACCAACGGCGAAGGCAGCUCGCUGGGACGGUACUGACGCUGAGACGCGAAAGCGUGGGGAGCGAACAGG